UUGGGGAAGGGUGUUUAGGGACUGGACUGAUUCUUCUCUGUGGCUGUUUUGCUCUUAGCUGGGUUUUUGAGCCUCCGAAGUUUUCCAAAGAGAUUCGAAAAAACGAAAACUCAGCUCGGGAAGCCUCCACCAGCCGAUUCCUAUGCCAGUUCACCUCUGGCAAUGGCUGGACUGCUGGGACACACAGCAGCCAAGACCAACUCCACAUUCUUCCCGCCCCCUCAUUUCACUGGAGCCGGGAGCCCUGCGCUCAGGGGAAGGGCCUCAGCUCUACAGACUGCCAAAGUCGGCUGGGUCGCUCCACUCCAAAAAUGGUGAGAAAGGAUCUCAUCUUUUUCCGCAGAGGAGCCAGAAGCAG
Unclassified non-coding RNA from Cricetulus griseus (Chinese hamster), 358 nucleotides. Ensembl annotates it as predicted gene, 27383. NCBI's taxonomy places the organism in Eukaryota, Metazoa, Chordata, Mammalia, Rodentia, Cricetidae. The record is from Ensembl.